AUUGAACGCUGGCGGCAGGCCUAACACAUGCAAGUCGAACGGUAGCACAGAGAGCUUGCUCUCGGGUGACGAGUGGCGGACGGGUGAGUAACGUCUGGGAAACUGCCCGAUGGAGGGGGAUAACUACUGGAAACGGUAGCUAAUACCGCAUAACGUCGCAAGACCAAAGUGGGGGACCUUCGGGCCUCACACCAUCGGAUGUGCCCAGAUGGGAUUAGCUAGUAGGUGGGGUAAUGGCUCACCUAGGCGACGAUCCCUAGCUGGUCUGAGAGGAUGACCAGCCAAACUGGAACGGAGACACGGUCCAGACUCCUACGGGAGGCAGCAGUGGGGAAUAUUGCACAAUGGGCGCAAGCCUGAUGCAGCCAUGCCGCGUGUAUGAAGAAGGCCUUCGGGUUGUAGAGUACUUUCAGCGGGGAGGAAGGCGGUGAAGUUAAUAGCUUCACCGAUUGACGUUACCCGCAGAAGAAGCACCGGCUAACUCCGUGCCAGCAGCCGCCGUAA
RNAcentral lists this ribosomal RNA (504 nucleotides) under uncultured bacterium. Its description in RNAcentral is "partial 16S ribosomal RNA". It matches the Rfam family "Bacterial small subunit ribosomal RNA", at positions 29 to 523 of the family's 1533-position model. The record is from RNAcentral.